ACAUACGACCAUAGACUCAGGAGAAUCGGGCAUCCCGUCCGCUCUGCCAUACGCAAGCCUGAGAUCGGCAGAUUAGUAGUUGGGUGGGUGACCACCAGCGAAUACCUGCUGUUGUAUGUU
Molecule: ribosomal RNA, 120 nt
Organism: Glarea lozoyensis ATCC 20868
Lineage: Eukaryota; Fungi; Ascomycota; Leotiomycetes; Helotiales; Helotiaceae
Source: Rfam